GUGGGGAAUUUUGGACAAUGGGCGCAAGCCUGAUCCAGCCAUGCCGCGUGAGUGAUGAAGGUCUUAGGAUUGUAAAGCUCUUUCACCGGUGAAGAUAAUGACGGUAACCGGAGAAGAAGCCCCGGCUAACUUCGUGCCAGCAGCCGCGGUAAUACGAAGGGGGCUAGCGUUGUUCGGAAUUACUGGGCGUAAAGCGCACGUAGGCGGAUAUUUAAGUCAGGGGUGAAAUCCCGGAGCUCAACUCCGGAACUGCCUUUGAUACUGGGUAUCUCGAGUAUGGAAGAGGUGAGUAGAAUUCCGAGUGUAGAGGUGAAAUGCGUAGAUAUUCGGAGGAACACCAGUGGCGAAGGCGGCUCACUGGUCCAUUACUGACGCUGAGGUGCGAAAGCGUGGGGAGCAAACAGGAUUAGAAACCCGGGUAGUCC
Molecule: ribosomal RNA, 425 nt
Filed under: uncultured bacterium
Lineage: Bacteria
Description: partial 16S ribosomal RNA
Rfam family: Bacterial small subunit ribosomal RNA
Source: RNAcentral